GGUUAAGCGACUAAGCGUACACGGUGGAUGCCCUGGCAGUCAGAGGCGAUGAAGGGCGUGCUAAUCUGCGAUAAGCGCCGGUAAGGUGAUAUGAACCGUUAUAACCGGCGAUACCCGAAUGGGGAAACCCAGUGUGAUUCGUCACACUAUCAUUAACUGAAUCCAUAGGUUAAUGAGGCGAACCGGGGGAACUGAAACAUCUAAGUA
Molecule: ribosomal RNA, 207 nt
Filed under: Salmonella enterica
Lineage: Bacteria; Pseudomonadati; Pseudomonadota; Gammaproteobacteria; Enterobacterales; Enterobacteriaceae
Also listed under: 4 other names
Description: partial 23S ribosomal RNA
Rfam family: Bacterial large subunit ribosomal RNA
Source: RNAcentral